RNAcentral lists this transfer RNA (66 nucleotides) under Helogenes marmoratus. RNAcentral's name for it is "tRNA-Cys". It matches the Rfam family "tRNA". From Rfam's summary of the family: Transfer RNA (tRNA) molecules are approximately 80 nucleotides in length. Lineage: Eukaryota; Metazoa; Chordata; Actinopteri; Siluriformes; Cetopsidae. The record is from RNAcentral.
AGUCUUGUAGUGUAUAACACGUUAGGUUGCAAACCUAAAAAAGCGGGCUUACCCCCGCCCGGGCUU